AGGUCGUCCUGAACCCCUGAAUUGGUGUGUGCGAGGGGCCGGCCGGGACGUGAUCCCGACCGGCCCUUCU
Molecule: non-coding RNA, 70 nt
Filed under: Curtobacterium sp. ER1/6
Lineage: Bacteria; Bacillati; Actinomycetota; Actinomycetes; Micrococcales; Microbacteriaceae
Source: RNAcentral